GACGAACGCUGGCGGCGUGCCUAAUACAUGCAAGUAGAACGCUGAAGAGAGGAGCUUGCUCUUCUUGGAUGAGUUGCGAACGGGUGAGUAACGCGUAGGUAACCUGCCUUGUAGCGGGGGAUAACUAUUGGAAACGAUAGCUAAUACCGCAUAACAAUGGAUGACACAUGUCAUUUAUUUGAAAUGGGCAAUUUCUCCACUACAAGAUGGACCUGCGUUGUAUUAGCUAGUAGGUGAGGUAAUGGCUCACCUAGGCGACGAUACAUAGCCGACCUGAGAGGGUGAUCAGCCACACUGGGACUGAGACACGGCCCAGACUCCUACGGGAGGCAGCAGUAGGGAAUCUUCGGCAAUGGGGGCAACCCUGACCGAGCAACGCCGCGUGAGGGAAGAAGGUUUUCGGGUCGUAAAGCUCUGUUGUAGGUCAAGAACGGGUGUGAGAGUGGAAAGUUCACACUGUGACGGUAGCUUACCAGAAAGGGACGGCUAACUACGUG
Molecule: ribosomal RNA, 497 nt
Filed under: uncultured bacterium
Lineage: Bacteria
Description: partial 16S ribosomal RNA
Rfam family: Bacterial small subunit ribosomal RNA
Source: RNAcentral